CUCUUUAUCCUCCUAUCUAUUUGCAUGGCCUGUUCCAAGGCGAUAUCCGGAACUCAAACUGGUUUUCUGAUUGGCAGAGCGGAUUCAGAAGCAUGAUCUUAUUAACUUUUAUAAUGCAGGUGCUUUAACAAAUAUAGAGAGUCAGAGAGGUACUUGGUCUGAAAGCCUCAGAGCUAAAUUACACCACCACCAUCACCUUUCAAGGGACCUCGUCCACCACAUAUGUUGACUUUUCCACCAUCACGUCCCUGAGUCCUCCUGCACCAGGUCCGGUGGCUGAUCCACCGCCCUACAGAUGAUAAUUCCCAUUACUGACGUAUAUGGAUUAUUAUUUUGUACUAUUUCUACAUUGUACUUUGAUUUUGUGUUACAACGUGAUACUCCCUCUGUCCCAUUAUAUGUUGCAAAUCAAUCGUUUGUUCUAUGAGACGAGCGACCCUCUCUUGGUUUCAGUAAUAUUCAUACGGGAUAUAAGUAGUAUUCAUAAUGAGAAAAUAUGACAUUUUCGUUGUU
Molecule: long non-coding RNA, 513 nt
Organism: Daucus carota subsp. sativus
Lineage: Eukaryota; Viridiplantae; Streptophyta; Magnoliopsida; Apiales; Apiaceae
Exons: 2
Source: RefSeq, a predicted model, not a curated record